GUGCCAGCCGCCGCGGUAAUACCGGCAGCCCGAGUGAUGGCCGAUCUUAUUGGGCCUAAAGCGUCCGUAGCUGGCCGACCAAGUCUCCCGGGAAAUCCACCCGCCUAACGGGUGGGCGUCCGGUAGAAACUGGCCGGCUUGGAACCGGAAGGCUCAGAGAGUACGUCCGGGGUAGGAGUGAAAUCCUGUAAUCCCGCUCGGACCGCCGAUGGGGAAACCACCUCAGGAGAACGGAUCCGACAGUGAGGGACGAAAGCCAGGGUCUCGAACCGGAUUAGAACCCCAGGAGUCC
Molecule: ribosomal RNA, 292 nt
Filed under: uncultured bacterium
Lineage: Bacteria
Description: partial 16S ribosomal RNA
Rfam family: Archaeal small subunit ribosomal RNA
Source: RNAcentral